GAUGAACGCUGGCGGCGUGCCUAAUACAUGCAAGUCGAGCGAACAGACGAGGCGCUUGCUCCUCUGACGUUAGCGACGGACGGGUGAGUAACACGUUGAUAACCUCCCUAUAAUACUGUGAUAACUGCGGGAAACCGGAGCUAAUACCGGAUAAUAUAUUGAACCGCAUGGUUCAAUAGUGAAAUCCGCUUUUGCUGUCACUUAUAGAUGGAUCCGCGCCGCAUUAGCUAGUUUGUAUGGUAACGGCGUACCAAGGCAACGAUGCGUAGACGACCUGAGAGAGUGGUAGGCCACACGGGAAGUUGAACGCGGUCAAGACGCCUACGGGAGGCAGCAGUAGGGAAUCGGCCGCAGUAGGCGAGAGCCUGACGGAGCAACGCGGCGUGAGUGAUGAAGGUCUUCGGAUCGUAAAACUCUGUUAUUAGGGAAGAACAAAUGUGUAAGUAACUGUGCACGUAGUGACGGUACCGAAUCAGAAAGCAACGGCUAACUACGUG
RNAcentral lists this ribosomal RNA (497 nucleotides) under uncultured bacterium. RNAcentral's name for it is "partial 16S ribosomal RNA". It matches the Rfam family "Bacterial small subunit ribosomal RNA", at positions 28 to 507 of the family's 1533-position model. The record is from RNAcentral.